Xenia sp. Carnegie-2017 is the source of this 493-nucleotide long non-coding RNA. RefSeq lists it as uncharacterized. The record is from RefSeq and is a predicted model, not a curated record. Lineage: Eukaryota; Metazoa; Cnidaria; Anthozoa; Malacalcyonacea; Xeniidae. The transcript is spliced from 3 exons.
AAAACAUUUUUCCGCAGAUCCAAAAUUGUGGUUAUGAGUAUGUGAAGGCCUCAUAUGGAAAACUUGUUUUACCAAAUUUAGCCCCUGGGGUGACUAUGAACUGCAACAGGCUCAUGAAGUUGUCAGGCAAAGGUGCUGUUUACGUACGCUCCAAUGAAAAACUUAGUGCUUGUAGUGAGAGUGACAAUUCUGCUGAUGAUGAAUUGCUGAAACCAGCAUUAAUUAAGCAAUAACCAGAAGUCCUGGAAAUUCAGUCUGAGUCAGACAUUAGGGAUAAGGUUUUGUGAAUUUUUGUCGGAGUCAGUGUGCCAAUAUGUAAAUAUCAUACACAAAUCACCAUACCAAAACAGGAAAGUACUUCCAUUCAAUAUCAAUAAAGACUGUGGAAAAUAUGAAUGUAUUAAUAUCAUAUUGCCAAACGUAUGACUUAAGAAAAUAACUAAAUCCUGCAAGCCAUGAAAGUAGACCUAGCUAAAUUAAACUAUUUUUUCAU